AACCCGACUGGGGGAUGGCUCGGCUCGAGAGCCGAAGAAGGUCGUGACAAGCUGCGAUAAGUCGCGGGGAGAGGCAUGAAUCUCUUGGAUCCGCGAAUAGCUGAAUUGGACCUCCUGACAUUAGUGUCAUUCCUCUAUGAGGAAAGGGAACCCCCCGAACUGAAGCAUCUCAGUAGGGGGAGGAAAAGAAAUCAAAUGAGAUUCCGUUAGUAGUGGCGAAUGAAAACGGAAUAGGACAAACCGAAUCUCCUUGGGAAACCUUGGAGAGAUGUGGGGUAUGGAUCAUCUGUAGUCUAAGUGUAGGAAGUAGAAGUCGCCUGGAACGGCGCACCACAGAGGGUGAAAGUCCCGUAUACGUACUAUAUAUGACCAAGUGAUGAAUCCAGAGUAGCGUGCGUUGGAUAUCGCGCGUGAAUAUGGGAGGCAGAUACUUCCAAUCCUGAAUACUACUCGAGACCGAUAGUAGACAAGUAGCGUGAGCGAAAGCUGAAAAGUAUCCUUAGCGGGAUGUGAAAAGACCCUGAAACCAGUCGGGAACAAGCUGAAUAGGCGUAAAAGCGAAGAUAUGAGCAGCGUCUAUUCUUGCGUUUCGAAUAAUGCCCCUGGGAGUUCUGAUCAUUGGCGAGGUUAAGCAGUUAAUCUGCGAAGCCGGAGGGAAACCGAAAGGUCCGCAGCCGCAUUAGCGGUGAGGGACUGGGUGUGCUCGCCCGGAGUCAAUGGUGGGAGACCUGAAGCCUGUCGAUCUAUGCCUGGCCAGAUUGAAGCCCGAUGAAAGUUGGGUGGAGGAUCAAACAGUUGCUGAUGUGCAAAUCGCUCUGACGAGCUUGGUAUAGGGGUGAAAGUCCAAUCGAGAUAGGCAAUAGCAGGUUCCGCGCGAGACUACUCGUAGGUAGAUCUCUGCAGAGGUAGUGUGCGAUGUAGAGCACUGAUUGGGUAUUUAGGGGGAGCAAUUCCUCGGUACGCUGUCAAACUCCGAAGUUGUGCACGCCGUAGAAGCAGGGAGUGAGCCACGGUGGGUAAGCUACCGUGACGAAAGGUGAAGAAACCAGCUCAGCGUUAAGGUCCCAAAAUUUCAGUUAAGUGUUAAUCACAAACGGCGUCCGUGGUCGAAGACAACCAGAAGGUGGGCUUAGAAGCAGCCAUCCUUGAAAGAGUUCGUAACAGAUCACUGGUCAAGCUUGCGGGCCCGAAAAAUGGACGGGACUCAAACUGAAUACCGAUACGCUGAUCCUUCGUAAGAAGAUGAGGUAGCGCGGCGAUAUGGUCGGGUAGAAGCUAGGUUUUAAGAUCUAGUGGACCGUCUAUAUAUGAGAAUCUAGGGAAGAGUAGCAGCAUAGUGCGGUGAGAAUCCGCACCACCGAAGGGGUAAGGGUUCCUCGGCAAUGUUUUUCAGCCGAGGGUUAGCCGAUCCUAAGGGCUUUCUUAAUCGAAGAGUCCGAAAGGGAAAUGCGUUAAUAUUCGUAUGCCCUUCUACAUUAAUGGUGACGGCUUGGGCUAGUUCGUACGUCUCUGUCAUGGGACGUCGAAGCGUAAUAAUCAAUUGGAGAACCGUCAUGGUGAGAAGAUUGAGAAGACGUGAGCAACGACGAAUGAGGCCUAGGUCCCAUGAAAAGCCGUAGAAGUGAUCGUACCAAGAACUGACACAGGUACCCAAGGUGAGUAGCCUAAGGUGUGACGGGCAAAGUAUCGUGAAGGAACUCGGCAAAAUAGCUCUGUAACUUCGGGAGAAGGAGUGCCAGCUUAGAGAUAAGCUGGUCGCAGUGACCAGGGGACUCCGACUGUUUAAUAAAAACAUAGGCGACUGCUAGAUCGAAAGAUUGUGUAUAGUCGCUGAAUCCUGCUCAGUGCCGGUAU
This 1854-nucleotide ribosomal RNA is filed under the name seawater metagenome. RNAcentral's name for it is "bacterial LSU rRNA". It matches the Rfam family "Archaeal large subunit ribosomal RNA", at positions 15 to 1967 of the family's 2987-position model. The record is from RNAcentral.